Molecule: ribosomal RNA, 479 nt
Filed under: uncultured bacterium
Lineage: Bacteria
Description: partial 16S ribosomal RNA
Rfam family: Bacterial small subunit ribosomal RNA
Source: RNAcentral
GAUGAACGCUAGCGGGAGGCCUAACACAUGCAAGCCGAGCGGUAUUGUUUCUUCGGAAAUGAGAGAGCGGCGUACGGGUGCGUAACACGUGUGCAACCUGCCUUUAUCUGGGGGAUAGCCUUUCGAAAGGAAGAUUAAUACUCCAUAAUAUAUUGAACGGCAUCGUUUAAUAUUGAAAGCUCCGGCGGAUAGAGAUGGGCACGGGCAAGAUUAGCUAGUUGGUUAGGUAACGGCUCACCAAGGCGAUGAUCUUUAGGGGGCCUGAGAGGGUGAUCCCCCACACUGGUACUGCGACACGGACCAGACUCCUACGGGAGGCAGCAGUGAGGAAUAUUGGUCAAUGGGUGCAAGCCUGAACCAGCCAUCCCGCGUGAAGGACGACUGCCGUAGGGGUUGUAAACUUCUUUUGUAUAGGGAUAAACCUACCCUCGAGAGGGUAGCUGAAGGUACUAUACGAAUAAGCGCCGGCUAACUCCGUG